RNAcentral lists this ribosomal RNA (253 nucleotides) under uncultured bacterium. RNAcentral describes it as "partial 16S ribosomal RNA". It matches the Rfam family "Bacterial small subunit ribosomal RNA", at positions 524 to 776 of the family's 1533-position model. The record is from RNAcentral.
UACGUAGGGAGCAAGCGUUGUUCGGAUUUACUGGGCGUAAAGGGCGCGUAGGCGGCAAUUCAAGUCAGCUGUGAAAUCUCCGGGCUUAACUCGGAACGGUCAGCUGAUACUGCUUUGCUAGAGUGCGGAAGGGGCAAUCGGAAUUCUCGGUGUAGCGGUGAAAUGCGUAGAUAUCGAGAGGAACACCUGCGGCGAAGGCGGGUUGCUGGGCUGACACUGACGCUGAGGCGCGAAAGCUAGGGGAGCGAACGGG